This is a long non-coding RNA of Triticum dicoccoides, 281 nucleotides long. RefSeq lists it as uncharacterized. The transcript has 3 exons. NCBI's taxonomy places the organism in Eukaryota, Viridiplantae, Streptophyta, Magnoliopsida, Poales, Poaceae. The record is from RefSeq and is a predicted model, not a curated record.
CACAAAUCGAUGCAGAAGCUGCUGAUCACACAGAGCAGGUCUCAAAAGAUGGCCAUUUAUCUGUGGAUGCACCAAUAAUUACUGGUCAAGUCCCAGUUAACCAUGACAAUGAUGCUGAUCGCCAAAUUACUGUCCAUGAACCAAUUAGCCACACAGAACAGUGUACCACCGCAGAGCAAUUUCAGUUGGAAGAUGCCAACACACCUGAAUCCUUAGUAUCCUUCGGUCAGCCAACACAAGAAUGGGAAGUUAGCCAACAACUUCGAGAUGCUAAUAUUCAC